GCUUUCGUGGUGUCACGGUAACACGUUCAACGCAUAUUCGAGAGGUAUCGGUUCGAAUCCCGUCGAGGGCA
RNAcentral lists this transfer RNA (71 nucleotides) under Stegodyphus mimosarum. It matches the Rfam family "tRNA". Rfam says of the family: Transfer RNA (tRNA) molecules are approximately 80 nucleotides in length. Their secondary structure includes four short double-helical elements and three loops (D, anti-codon, and T loops). The record is from Rfam by way of RNAcentral. Lineage: Eukaryota; Metazoa; Arthropoda; Arachnida; Araneae; Eresidae.